Molecule: ribosomal RNA, 461 nt
Filed under: uncultured bacterium
Lineage: Bacteria
Description: partial 16S ribosomal RNA
Rfam family: Bacterial small subunit ribosomal RNA
Source: RNAcentral
GCUACGGGUGGCAGCAGUGAGGAAUAUUGGUCAAUGGGCUUACGCCUGAACCAGCCAAGUCGCGUGAGGGAAGACUGCCCUAUGGGUUGUAAACCUCUUUUGUCAGGGAGCAAUUGGCGCUACGUGUAGCGUUAUCGAGAGUACCUGAAGAAAAAGCAUCGGCUAACUCCGUGCCAGCAGCCGCGGUAAUACGGAGGAUGCGAGCGUUAUCCGGAUUUAUUGGGUUUACAGGUUGCGUAGGCGGAAUGCCAAGUCAGAUGUGAAAACCACGGGCUCAACCUGUGGCCUGCAUUUGAAACUGUAGUUCUUGAGUACUGGAGAGGCAGACGGAAUUCCUAGUGUAGCGGUGAAAUGCGUAGAUAUUAGGAGGAACACCAGUGGCGAAGGCGGUCUGCUGGACAGCAACUGACGCUGAGGCGCGAAAGCGUGGGGAGCAAACAGGAUUAGAUACCCGUGUAGUC